RNAcentral lists this ribosomal RNA (129 nucleotides) under Dystovomita paniculata. RNAcentral's name for it is "partial 26S ribosomal RNA". Lineage: Eukaryota; Viridiplantae; Streptophyta; Magnoliopsida; Malpighiales; Clusiaceae. The record is from RNAcentral.
AGACCCUAUGACAUUGUCGUGCACUAUUGUGUACUAGGCACCGACGGCCCGAARAGCAUCGUUGCAUGCUCCCAAAGCGACCCCAGGUCAGGCGGGACUACCCGCUGAGUUUAAGCAUAUCAAUAAGCG